This 74-nucleotide transfer RNA is filed under the name Phlebiopsis gigantea 11061_1 CR5-6. RNAcentral describes it as "tRNA-Arg (ACG) (tRNA-Arg-ACG-2-1)". It matches the Rfam family "tRNA". From Rfam's summary of the family: Transfer RNA (tRNA) molecules are approximately 80 nucleotides in length. The record is from RNAcentral. Lineage: Eukaryota; Fungi; Basidiomycota; Agaricomycetes; Polyporales; Phanerochaetaceae.
ACUCAGGUGGCUUAGUAGGUUAGAGCGUGACUUUACGCUUGUUGAGGGCGUAGGUUCAAUCCCUACCCUGGGUU